UAAUACGUAGGGGGCGAGCGUUGCCCGGAAUCAUUGGGCGUAAAGGGCGCGCAGGCGGCCUGAUUAGUCGUGGGUGAAAUCGUUCGGCUCAACCGAGCGGGGUCCUGCGAAACGGUCGGGCUGGAGCAAGGCAGGGGGUCGUGGAAUUCCCGGUGUAGUGGUGGAAUGCGUAGAGAUCGGGAGGAACACCAGUGGCGAAGGCGGCGACCUGGGCCUGUGCUGACGCUGAGGCGCGAAAGCGUGGGGAGCGAUCCGGAUUAGAUACCCGGGUAGUCCACGCCGUAAACGAUGCGGACUAGGUGUCGGGGGUAUCGACCCCCUCGGUGCCGGCGCGAACGCAUUAAGUCCGCCGCCUGGGGACUACGGCCGCAAGGCUA
This 377-nucleotide ribosomal RNA is filed under the name uncultured bacterium. Its description in RNAcentral is "bacterial SSU rRNA". It matches the Rfam family "Bacterial small subunit ribosomal RNA", at positions 521 to 896 of the family's 1533-position model. The record is from RNAcentral.